CCAGGUGGUGGUGGAUUCAGAUGUGGAGUCUGUCCAGCUGCCCUUCAAAACCAGAGUUAACCUGUCUGAAGAGGAUAAAGUGGAGUGGAAGGACAGAAACAUCAGGAAGGUCCAUGUGUAUCCAGAAGUGUCUGACCAGCCUGAAGAACAAGACCAGGUUUAGAGACACCGAACGCAGAUGAAUAAAGACCUGCUGAAAACUGGAGACCUCAGUCUGAAACUGAAAUACCCCACAGACUGGGACACAAACACCUACACCUGCACCGUCUACAGCAGUUCCUGUAUGCUAAAGAAGAAACAAGAAGUGAAACUUCAAGUCAGAGUCUUCCUCACUGUAAAUCCACAAAAGGCAACCCUUGGCUGUGAGCCAAGACCAGCUGUGACAGGAGAGUUUACUCUGAUGCACAUAGAGCAAAAAUAUAAGUCUGUGAGGUGCAGGUGGAGGAGAGGGCGGAGUCUGUCCAGCUGCCCUUCAAAACCACAGAACUGCCCAAAGAUGCUAAAGUGGAGUGGAAGGACAGAUACAGCAGGAAGGUUCAUGUGUAUCAUAAAACAUCUGACCAGCCUGAAGAACAGGACGAGGAUUAUAGAGAUAAAACAGAGAUGAAUAAAGACCUGCUGGAAACUGGAGAGCUCAGUCUGACUCUGAAAACCCCACACAGGGAAACAUUGGGAGAUACACAUGUUACAUCAGGAGAAAGGGAGACAUGAUCAGAUCGAAAACAGUGAUGUUAAAAGUAACAGUUUCUCGGGUGCCAUUGUCUAGAUAUUGAACUUUGGUUUUAUUAUAGUAAUUUCCUCUUUAUGAUAAGAUAGAAUGAACUUUAAUGUCCCCUUGUUUAAAUUUGUUGUGGACUCUAGGAUUGUCACAGAAUCUGCCUUUACAAAGUCAAUAGACAUUAAAAGAAAAGAGGAAUAGAUAACAGAUAAAUAGUGUGUGUGUGUGUGUGUGUGUGUGUGUGAGAGAGAAUUUAAAUAAAAUCCAGAAGCUGUGCCUUGAUCAUCACAGAAACCUGGCUUCACCCAGGAGUACCUGAAGCUAGCGUGUUGUAUGCUCCCUCUAGGUGCGAUCUUUCAGAAAUACAAUAUCGCUUUUCACUGUUAUGCUGAUGAUAUACAGAUCUACUUUGAACUAACUGAUGAUCUCUGUCUCUGCACUGUUUGUGUGAGGUCAAAUAAUGGCUCUUAGGAAACUCUUAUCUUAAAUGAUAAGAAAACAGAAAUCGUGGUAUUUGAUAGUAAUAUUCCUCGCGGCCAACUUGGUGAUGCCUUUGGUUCCCUUGCCAGUUCCAUCUCUGACACUGUUAGCAAUUUGGGUGUGUUGCUGGAUAGCUCUUUUAAAUUUGAUGAACAAGUGUCUGCUGUAAAUAGAUCUAGCUUCUACCAACUGCAUCUCAUUUCUAAGGCUAGGCAUGCCCUCUGACUGGAACUGGGAGGUUUGCCUCUAUUAUCCCUGUUCUUGCUGAUCUGCACUGCACCCAUUAAAUACUGUAUCCAAUUUAAAAUACUGCUGCUUACUUUUUAAAUUAUCAACAACGCAGCGCCGAGCUACCUUAUCGAAUUCCUUAGAUUGUUCUUGUUAGAGCACUAAGAUCAUCUACUCGGGUAAUCUUGGUGCAGCCGAGAUCUUGGCUGAAAUCUAGAGGUGACCGUGCGUUUGCCUUGGCUGCACCUGAUUUGUAGACUUAUUCUGUUUCUCUUUUAUACAUUUCUUUCAUGCUUUUGUGCUUUUACCAUGUUUUUAUUUGAUGUGCAUUUCAUUGCUAUUUCUGUGUAUU
Long non-coding RNA from Oreochromis aureus, 1778 nucleotides. NCBI's taxonomy places the organism in Eukaryota, Metazoa, Chordata, Actinopteri, Cichliformes, Cichlidae. The record is from Ensembl.